RNAcentral lists this ribosomal RNA (95 nucleotides) under Porphyromonas sp. RNAcentral's name for it is "partial 23S ribosomal RNA". It matches the Rfam family "Bacterial large subunit ribosomal RNA", at positions 1 to 97 of the family's 2925-position model. Lineage: Bacteria; Pseudomonadati; Bacteroidota; Bacteroidia; Bacteroidales; Porphyromonadaceae. The record is from RNAcentral.
AAAAACAGAUAAGGGCAGACGGUGGAUGCCUUGGCUCUCGGAGGCGAAGAAGGACGUGAUAAGCUGCGAUAAGCUUCGGGUAGGUGCAAAUAACC